UACGAAGGGGGCUAGCGUUGCGCGGAAUUACUGGGCGUAAAGGGCGCGCAGGCGGCCUUAGAAGUCAGAUGGGAAAGCCCCGGGCUCAACCUGGGAAUGGCAUUUGAUACUCUGAGGCUGGAGUACGGGAGAGGAGAGUGGAAUUCCCAGUGUAGAGGUGAAAUUCGUAGAUAUUGGGAAGAACACCGGUGGCGAAGGCGGCUCUCUGGACCGUAACUGACGCUGAGGCGCGAAAGCGUGGGGAGCAAACAGG
This 253-nucleotide ribosomal RNA is filed under the name uncultured bacterium. RNAcentral describes it as "partial 16S ribosomal RNA". It matches the Rfam family "Bacterial small subunit ribosomal RNA", at positions 524 to 776 of the family's 1533-position model. The record is from RNAcentral.